ACAAACUUGGUCAUUUAGAGGAAGUAAAAGUCGUAACAAGGUAUCCGUAGGUGAACCUGCGGAUGGAUCAUUACCAAUUUAACUUUGCUGGUUUGUACCGGACCCGUGUGGCACGGUACACAACUACCAUGUAAACGUUGAACUUGAUCAUUAGUGCUGUGGACUGUCGGCCUGAGUUAUUUCAGGCAGGCACUCCCCACACUGAUACCAUUUUAUAUAUAUCAUAUACUACUCGUAUAUACUACAAACAAACAAACAAAAACACAGUUUUAAUAGGACUUAUCAUGGACCGAGUGGGUAACAGCCUCAGUCUUAAAAAAAUAAUAAUAACUAUUACAACUUUCAGCAAUGGAUCUCUAGGCUCUCGCAUCGAUGAAGAACGCAGC
RNAcentral lists this unclassified non-coding RNA (386 nucleotides) under uncultured fungus. RNAcentral's name for it is "partial contains small subunit ribosomal RNA, internal transcribed spacer 1, and 5.8S ribosomal RNA". The stretch from base 1 to 73 matches the Rfam family "Eukaryotic small subunit ribosomal RNA", at positions 1759 to 1831 of the family's 1831-position model. The record is from RNAcentral. Lineage: Eukaryota; Fungi.